RNAcentral lists this ribosomal RNA (497 nucleotides) under uncultured bacterium. RNAcentral describes it as "partial 16S ribosomal RNA". It matches the Rfam family "Bacterial small subunit ribosomal RNA", at positions 28 to 507 of the family's 1533-position model. The record is from RNAcentral.
GAUGAACGCUGGCGGCGUGCCUAAUACAUGCAAGUCGAGCGAACGGACGAGAAGCUUGCUUCUCUGAUGUUAGCGGCGGACGGGUGAGUAACACGUGGAUAACCUACCUAUAAGACUGGGAUAACUUCGGGAAACCGGAGCUAAUACCGGAUAAUAUUUUGAACCGCAUGGUUCAAAAGUUAAAGACGGUCUUGCUGUCACUUAUAGAUUGAUCCGCGCUGCAUUAGCUAGUUGGUAAGGUAACGGCUUACCAAGGCAACGAUGCAUAGCCGACCUGAGAGGGUGAUCGGACACACUGGAACUGAGACACGGUACAGACUCCUACGGGAGGCAGCAGUAGGGAAUCUUACGCAAUGGGCGAAAGCCUGACGGAGGAACGCCGCGUGAGUGAUGAAGGUCUUCGGAUCGUAAAACUCUGUUAUUAGGGAAGAACAUAUGUGUAAGUAACUGUGCACAUCUUGACGGUACCUAAUCAGAAAGCCACGGCUAACUACGUG